GAUGAACGCUAGCGGCAGGCUUAAUACAUGCAAGUCAAGGGGGUAGCAAUACAACCGGCGCACGGGUGAGUAACGCGUACACAACAUACCAUAUACUGGAGUAUAGCUUUGGGAAACUGAAGGUAAUCCUCCAUAACAUUGCGAGAGGGCAUCUGAUUGCAAUUAAAGUUUCGGCGGUAUAUGAUUGGUGUGCGUUUGAUUAGCUAGUUGGUAGGGUAACGGCCUACCAAGGCGACGAUCAAUAGCUGGCGUGAGAGCGCGACCAGCCACACUGGAACUGAGACACGGUCCAGACUCCUACGGGAGGCAGCAGUAGGGAAUAUUGGACAAUGGAGGAAACCUCUGAUCCACGCCAUCGCCCGCGUAGAUAGAUAGGAACGGCCCUCGUGGGUUAGUAAAUAUUCUUUUAUCGUAGGG
Molecule: ribosomal RNA, 417 nt
Filed under: uncultured bacterium
Lineage: Bacteria
Description: bacterial SSU rRNA
Rfam family: Bacterial small subunit ribosomal RNA
Source: RNAcentral